This 468-nucleotide ribosomal RNA is filed under the name uncultured bacterium. Its description in RNAcentral is "partial 16S ribosomal RNA". It matches the Rfam family "Bacterial small subunit ribosomal RNA", at positions 28 to 507 of the family's 1533-position model. The record is from RNAcentral.
GACGAACGCUGGCGGCGUGCUUAACACAUGCAAGUCGAACGGAAAGGCCCUGCUUUUGUGGGGUGCUCGAGUGGCGAACGGGUGAGUAACACGUGAGUAACCUGCCCUUGACUUUGGGAUAACUUCAGGAAACUGGGGCUAAUACCGGAUAGGAGCUCCUGCUGCAUGGUGGGGGUUGGAAAGUUUCGGCGGUUGGGGAUGGACUCGCGGCUUAUCAGCUUGUUGGUGGGGUAGUGGCUUACCAAGGCUUUGACGGGUAGCCGGCCUGAGAGGGUGACCGGCCACAUUGGGACUGAGAUACGGCCCAGACUCCUACGGGAGGCAUCAGUGGGGAAUAUUGCACAAUGGGCGGAAGCCUGAUGCAGCAACGCCGCGUGCGGGAUGACGGCCUUCGGGUUGUAAACCGCUUUCGCCUGUGACGAAGCGUGAGUGACGGUAAUGGGUAAAGAAGCGCCGGCUAACUACAUG